UAUUUGUGCUAGGGGUGCCUUUAGGCUGAGAGAUGAAUUUUCAUUAACCCUCAUAUACCUGAUCUGGAUAAUACCAGCGUAGGAAAGCGAUAAGUCAUUUAG
RNAcentral lists this non-coding RNA (102 nucleotides) under Clostridium fallax. RNAcentral's name for it is "TPP sequence". It matches the Rfam family "TPP riboswitch aptamer (THI element)". Rfam says of the family: Vitamin B(1) in its active form thiamin pyrophosphate (TPP) is an essential coenzyme that is synthesised by coupling of pyrimidine and thiazole moieties in bacteria. The previously detected thiamin-regulatory element, thi box was extended, resulting in a new, highly conserved RNA secondary structure, the THI element, which is widely distributed in eubacteria and also occurs in some archaea. The record is from Rfam by way of RNAcentral. Lineage: Bacteria; Bacillati; Bacillota; Clostridia; Eubacteriales; Clostridiaceae.